GGAUCAUUGUCGAAAUCGAACGGAAGAACGACCCGCGAAUCGUCAUUGCGUAGUAGACAGAGCCCGUGAGCACCUAACGCUCAUGGGUCUCGCGUCGCGUCGGCGCGGGUGUACUCGAGACCCGCGUCGUACCGGCGGACAAACAACGUCAGCACGGAUCGUGCCAAGGAGCUGCAUGGAGAGAAUCGUCGUCCCACGCCCUCGAUAGUCCUCGACGCGGGACGGGGGAUGUACGCAAUCUCUACUCAAGUCUAAACGACUCUCGGCAACGGAUAUCUCGGCUCUUGCAUCGAUGAAGAACGUAGCGAAAUGCGAUACUUGGUGUGAAUUGCAGAAUCCCGGAACCAUCAAUUCUUUGAACGCAAGUUGCGCCCGAAGCCAUUCGGCCGAGGGCACGCCUGCCUGGGCGUCGUGAAUCCCCUUGCCCCUAGGCACCCGCGUGAGCAUUGGCGGGGAUAUAUGCUCGGGCGCAGAAUAUGGCCUCCCGUGGGAUCGGCAUGCGCGGCAUGUCGAGGUGCGGUUGGCCGAAAAUCGAGCAUGGCGGUGACGGGCACCACGGCGUUCGGUGGAUCGAACGAGAUUGGCUGCGUCGUGGGCUCGGCAUGCGGCGGGCUCCGGACUUUGAAUAUCCCCGAGUGCGAUCCCAGGUCAGGCGGGGCUACCCGCUGAGUUUAAGCAUAUCAAUAAGCGGAGGAAAAGAAACUAACGAGGAUUCCCUUAGUAGCGGC
This is a ribosomal RNA of 728 nucleotides. The stretch from base 258 to 412 matches the Rfam family "5.8S ribosomal RNA".